GAUUAACGCUGGCGGCGUGCAUAACACAUUCAAGUCGAACGGUGACGAGGGCUUCGGUCCUCUGAUCAGUGGCGGACGGGUGAGUAACGCGUGAGCAACCUGCCCUUGUGUGCGGGAUACCGUCUGGAAACGGACGUUAAUACCGCAUGACCCAAUAGUACGGCAUCGUACAGUUGGCAAAGAUUUAUUGCACAAGGAUGGGCUCGCGUCCCAUUAGAUAGUUGGUGAGGUAACGGCUCACCAAGUCGACGAUGGGUAGCCGGACUGAGAGGUUGAACGGCCACAUUGGAACUGAGAUACGGUCCAG
Molecule: ribosomal RNA, 307 nt
Filed under: uncultured bacterium
Lineage: Bacteria
Description: bacterial SSU rRNA
Rfam family: Bacterial small subunit ribosomal RNA
Source: RNAcentral